Molecule: long non-coding RNA, 116 nt
Organism: Aricia agestis (brown argus)
Lineage: Eukaryota; Metazoa; Arthropoda; Insecta; Lepidoptera; Lycaenidae
Exons: 3
Source: RefSeq, a predicted model, not a curated record
AAGAACAGACUUUCGAAAGACGAGCAUUGCUCGUCGUUUGGGAACGUGAUAUCGCACGCGAAGUACACACACAUGCGGUAUCUAUCUUGAUCUAUGUCUGUGGGCUUAAAUAAUAU